AGUUUCUUAAGGAUUAGAAGAAAUCCAUAAUACUCUCAGCAAAAUCCAUCUGAGAUGAAAUCAGAAUUUACAUUGGACCAUCAAAGACUGUGGAAAAUCUUGAAUUUAAUAAGGUACUGGAAGGUCUCCUCAAGCCUUUUCUUCUACAGGGUCUUAGGUAACUUCUUUGUGUUCUUCAAGUUUUAUAACAUCCUUUACUCUGGAAAAUUGAAAGGGCACAUCUGCAUGACACUGUGGACAAGAGAAGCAGUGUGCUUUUCAAGUGAAUCACCCAACUGUUCCCACUUGCACUUCGGCUAGUAUCACGGAGUGAACUUGGAGUGAAUGAACUGGAUUUCUUUCAGAUGGAAACUGAACUGAAGAUGUUCUCCAGGAGCACAACUGGACAGCUCAAAUGACGAAUCAUGAUCAUGGGUCAACACUAGAUUUAGUCCAGAGUGAACUCCCCACACAGGUGUAGUGUAACUGCUUAGUCCUCAGUACCAGUUGUUUUGAUUAAAUGGUCCCUCUCUACUGACUUGCUGCUCUUACACCGCAUGACUUGCCAAUAUAGACAUAGUCAGAGAUACGUAAAUGAAUAAAGUACCCAGCUCCCA
This is a long non-coding RNA of Rhea pennata, 596 nucleotides long. RefSeq lists it as uncharacterized. The record is from RefSeq and is a predicted model, not a curated record. The transcript is spliced from 3 exons. Lineage: Eukaryota; Metazoa; Chordata; Aves; Rheiformes; Rheidae.